Molecule: long non-coding RNA, 1333 nt
Organism: Rhincodon typus (whale shark)
Lineage: Eukaryota; Metazoa; Chordata; Chondrichthyes; Orectolobiformes; Rhincodontidae
Exons: 3
Source: RefSeq, a predicted model, not a curated record
AAAAGAAAGGUGUUUGUGAAGAGAAUAGAGAUGACAGAAAAUUCCAGAAGACAGUCUCUGUGAACUUGGAGAGAUUAAGUUACAAUUUAUUGCCUCUUAUUAAUUAGGUUUAUAUUAAGGACAUGGGAAACUUGAAGACCAACAGAUUGAAUGGCAAACAGAAUAUAAUGUGGCUACAUAUUAAGUUACUCACAUAAGCAAGACGAAUUGUUCCACUUAGUAAAUGACUGCCUAUGGAAUCCUUGCCAUCAUCCUGAAAUCCCAUUGAGUUAUCCUGAUCUACCUUCAUAACUUCACAACUUUUGGAACUCACAUGUACCAAUUCCAUAAGAGGUUACCAAACUGAAGAGCUUGUGGGUAGUGGACAUAUCUGGAAGAGGAAAGAUGAGUUGAAAAGCUUGCUGAAAGGCGAAAUCUUGGUCGUCUUGGGAUGGCCUGCAAUUCUCAGUGAGCCAUUAUUCACAGCCUCCUGAGAAAGGGCAACUAUGAAUGUAUGGGCACUGGCGUGCCAGUCUGUCUGGCUCAGGUAUCUAAUGAUUUGAAAUCCUCAAAUUUGCCAGCAAUGUGAGUCAGGACAACAAGACAACCUGCAUCAUCCCCAGACAUCCACAGCUAGCCGUGUGCAACUAUGAGGAGCUCAACAAGCUGCAGGGAGAAGCGCCCACCGCUCUGAAGUGGUGCUCAAUAAAACCACCAUGGGUUGCAUGACUAAAGUGAACAAGAAUCAGUAACACAGAAUUAACUGCAUUGCCAAGACACUUUCACUUUUCUGUAUUCCUGAACCAUGAUUGUGCUAUUUCUGAACUCUACAUGUGGCAAAAAUCAGUUGACCAUUUCUGUCACAGAAUCUAGAAAUACUACAAAAACAUAGUCUUGAUCUACCACAACAUAUUGCAUAAAUGCACAUAAGUAUUUUGUGCUGUACUCAAACAGCUGUACUUUUUAAUACUUCCAGAUAGCAUUGAAACCAGCUCAAAAUGUCCUGAUUUAGUCGCAAUUUGUGAAGCUUGAAUUGUGGAAACCAAGGAUGAGCUAACAACACCACUAGGGGAAGUAUUUAGGGAUUUAGUAGAAAAGAAAGAGCUUGAGAAUGAAAAAUGUACUUCCUUUAUUUAAAAAAAGGAAGCAGGGAGAUCCAGAUAACUAUAGACCAAUUAGUCUGACAGCAGUACAAAAUAAAACUCUGUAAUUAAUGAUUAAGAAAUGGAGGAGCAUUAAGAGAGAUAUAAUCCAAUUGGCAAGUGUCACAAUGGUUUAUAAAAGGCAAUUAUUAUCAGAAUAGCUCAACAGAAAUAUAAACAAAGUACAUAAAAAUGAAAUGAGUGCACCUACA